CACCUCUAGCAUUUCAAAUAUUAGAGGCAUUGCCUGCCCAGUGACUAAAGUUAAACGGCCGCGGUAUCCUGACCGUGCAAAGGUAGCAUAAUCACUUGUUCCUUAAUUAGGGACUCGUAUGAACGGCUAAACGAGGGUCCAACUGUCUCUUAUUUUUAAUCAGUGAAAUUGACCUUCCAGUGAAGAGGCUGGAAUAACUUAAUAAGACGAGAAGACCCUAUGGAGCUUAAAUUAAUUAACUUACUUAAAAUCUCACCACACCUAAUGGCACAAAAAUAAUAUUUUAAAUUUAAAAUUUUGGUUGGGGUGACCUCGGAGAAUAAAAAAUCCUCCGAAAGAAUUAUAACUUAGACCAACAAGUCAAUGUAACCUCAGUUCCAAUUGACCCAAAAAAUUGACCAACGGACCAAGUUACCCUAGGGAUAACAGCGCAAUCCUAUUUAAGAGUCCAUAUCGACAAUAGGGUUUACGACCUCGAUGUUGGAUCAGGACAUCCCAAUGGUGCAGAAACUAUUAAUGGUUCGUUUGUUCAACGAUUAAAGUCCACGGUGGAU
RNAcentral lists this ribosomal RNA (554 nucleotides) under Mastomys erythroleucus (Guinea multimammate mouse). RNAcentral describes it as "partial 16S ribosomal RNA". It matches the Rfam family "Bacterial large subunit ribosomal RNA", at positions 1816 to 2605 of the family's 2925-position model. The record is from RNAcentral. Lineage: Eukaryota; Metazoa; Chordata; Mammalia; Rodentia; Muridae.